AGACACUUGCAGCUGACUUUAUUUCAAGGGAACAAGGUACACCCAAUCCAGUUAUAACAUCAGACACCGUUCAGGAGGCCUGGGGUAAGCAGUCCUUGGUCCCCAAGGGGUAGAGAGCAGAUCUCCAUUGGAGCCCACAGCAGCCCAGCUCAGUUACUAUAAGCCCGCAGGCAGCACCUCACAGAGCAAGAAUGGAUUUCCUGUCUGUUCCUCCAAUCCUCCAGGAGCCCCAUGGAGCUCAGCCGCCACCUCAAGGCUCCAGACAGGCAUCUAGCCAUAUCCGGGUCUGAGGGCCCCUCCAAGGGAUCCCUCCUUCCCCUUCCACCUUAACCCUUUCUUCCCCUGGCUGGGUUGGGUAGUGAAUCUACAACUUAAUCAAAGAAUGAGG
Long non-coding RNA from Lutra lutra (Eurasian river otter), 388 nucleotides. RefSeq lists it as uncharacterized. NCBI's taxonomy places the organism in Eukaryota, Metazoa, Chordata, Mammalia, Carnivora, Mustelidae. The record is from RefSeq and is a predicted model, not a curated record. The transcript is spliced from 3 exons.